AAGGUUUCUUUGCAGGGUAUGAGAGGCUGUAGCGGGAGGAAGGGAGAAGGGAAUGGGUUAACUCGAUGCUCCAGCUAGGUCUGAACAUAAGAUGCUGACUCCAGCCCAAGGCCACAGCACACAACCGACUCUCGGCUGCCUGCCAAGAAAGACGGGGGCCUGGAUUCCAACCCCAACCAGCCGUGAGAAAGGAGGAUUCAGCUGAAGAGAACUGCAGGGGCUGCGAAAACCAGUGAAACAGUGAAGGCCAGAGAGUGGGAAAACAACAUUCUUGCGUCCCUGAAGCCAGUGUGUUUUGGGAAAGCUGAGGAAGCUGGGGAAAGCUGGCUUGGACUGGUACAAAGAGCAUAGGGGACAGAGGUCCCUGAACAAAACACCCCCAAAAGACCCCAGGACUUAAAACCCUCCAGAGAGCUAAAAAAAUAGGAGAUCAACAGCAGACCCUGGACAACCUGUGAACAGGACAGAAUUCUCGUCCACCCUUCCCCCUCUUCUUCUGACGUUACACCCAGGGUUGGCCAGCCUCGGGUCAUGCGUGUAUAUAAAUAAAGCUUGGGAAAAAAUGUGACAUGUGGAUGAAGGAGGAAAAAUAACAGAUCCAGACACCCUGGUACCACUCAGUGGCCAUAGAUGCCAAACACAACAAAUAUGUUUUACAACAAGCCUGGAGCACUAACCACCUUUCUCAUGAAAGCUAUAUGAGAGUAUGGCAAGGCCACUAUACUGAGCCAGGGGAAUAAGCUGACUCCAAAAAUACUCAAGCAUUGGCAUGAUGACAGAAUUGUGAUAGAUCUGCAAAGGGGGGACUACAACUCCCAUCAGCCCCUUCCCCACUGCACUUCCCUUACCCCUGGCCUGAUAAAGGGAAAGAUCCUGAACCAAGAAGUGGCCAGGGUCCGUUUGGAGACAGUGGCUGUAUGGCAAGUGAAGAGAUGGAGGGAAGGUGAAGCAGCAGCUGCAUGGCAAGCCAGGGGCUGGAAAGAAGCUGCAAACAGGAAGGGAUGCAGACCUGUGUGUGGAACAGGCUCUGAGUGACAGACGCUACAGUGGCUUGCAGGUCAGUUGAGACUUAUGGGGAAGCUGCAAGACCUAUUGAGUUCUGGGAGCCAGUGCAGAGACCCUAAAGAGAGAUUAACUGAGCCUGGCUUGGAAACCCACAAGCUCCAGUUUGAAUAGCGACUGGACUGGAGAGGGCACUCCAGACACUAGCCCUAAAGCGCCUGACUCUUGAUUGGAGUGUCCCCAGGGGCCCAAACAUUUACCGCUAUCACUCACUGUGAACUGUAAGUGUUUAAGCCUCUGUAUCUAGGCUCUUCCUAACCUUUCCCUUUCCUACCAGCCCUAGCAAAAUAACCUUUUCCCUUAUCCUUGUAUCUGAAUGGUUAUUGGGAUCCACCAGGACUAGAAUCUAAAGACCUAGUUACUGAAGCAUCUAGAGCACUCACCUCUGAGUUGUGGUGCAACUGGAACGCUACUGGCACCCUAAGCGUUUAGUGUAUUCUGGCACAGAGGAGCAGCAGCAAUAAUGAGUGUUGCCAAGGAUUAGAUCAUGGUGGAGAAGGCAGGGUGGUGAUUGUGGAUGUUUUUGCUGCCAUUUUUACCCUGCCAUUUGCUCCACCCACGCCUCCUGCCUAAUUGUUCCCUUUGUAUCCUUCUCAUAGGCCCAUCUUUCUUUUAUGGUGCUCCUUACACCUCUAGAAUAUUCCAAAUAACCAUUGCUCUUCAUUCCACUCCCUCCUUAAAAUGUGCUGCUUCAUCCAAGCAUUUCAGUGAUUAUCUAUGUCAGAAACAAAUGUCUUAGAAUAAUUUGACUACAAAACCCACCCACCAAAAUUCUGAACCUUCAUCUGAUUUACUGGUGUCUCAUUAGGGCCUAUUACAGUUGGCUGAAAUUUUUCUGUUGAAACUGGUUUUUGAUUAAACAAAUUUUGUGGGAAAAAGUAUCUACUUGCAGAAAACUUCCCUUUUUUUAUGGACACCCCAAAAUUGAAAUAUUUCAGAUGAAAACAGAACUUUGGGGUGUUUGGUCAUUCUUCAUAUUCAAAUUUCCACUAAAAAUGAAACACUUUUUGACCUGCUCUAGUCUGUACUGCAUUGAAGACUACUCUACAGCUAGUUCCUGAUAUAGCAGCAAAGAAAAUUCCCUAUAUCUCUACGUAUCUGGAGGAGCUAAGAUGGCAAAAUAUGCAGUCAUAGCAGCCUAGACAGAGGGCAGCUGACCAGUGGCAGUGGAAAGGUGAAACCCAUCCUCUAUUAGGGAUUGUCAAAUUAGGAUGUGACACUGCACCCCAUAUUCUUGAUCGUGAUAUUAUUCUGAUAUGAUUAUGGCAUAAUCAUGAUGCAUUUUGUAAAAGAUAUGUCAUGUCAAGUGUCUAUGGAAAAGUUCAUAGAUACUAAGGUCAGAAGGGACCAUUAUGAUCAUCUAGUCCAACCUCCUGAACAACGCAGGCCACAGAAUCUCACCCACCCACUCCUGCGAAAAACCUCUCACCCAUGUCUGAGCUACUGAAGUCCUCAAAUUGUGGUUUAAAGACUUCAAGGAGCAGAGAAUCCUCCAGCAAGUGACCCGUGUCCCAUGCUACAGAGGAAGGCGAAAAACCUCCAGGGCAUCUUCCAAUUUGCCCUGGACGAAAAUUCCUUCCCGACCACAAAUACAGCAAUCAGCUAAACCCUGAGCAUAUGGGCAAGAUUCACCAGCCAGAUACUACAGAAAAUUCUUUCCUGGGUAACUCAGAUCCCACCCCAUCUAUCAUCCCAUCACAGGCUAUUAGGCCUAUUUACCAUGAAUAUUUAAAGAUCAAUUAAGUUGCUGAAUAUGAUUAUCCUAUUUGUAUGCAUGUAAUAUUUUUGUAUCUGAAGUUAUGAAUAUUGACUAUGUAUCUGCAUUUCACAUGCAGUCACACCUGAUUGGAAGCAUCUUGCCUAGUGGGUGUCAAUCUAAAUAGCGGGUUGUGACGGGCCCAUUCAGUGUAAUGGGCCAUUAGUAGGAUUCCGUGUCUUUCUGCGACUGCCGUGACUUCUACAGCAGCCAGUGUGGCAGACUCCAGGGCCGCCCAAGGGCUGCUCAGGUAGCCCUGGGGACAGCCACAUCAGCUGCUAAUUCAUAUCCUAUCUUUCAAGUAUCUAAGGCUUAGUUUGUGGUUUUGUUUAUUUACUAGGUAAUCUGCUUGAUCUGUUUGCUAUCACUUCAUAAUCACUUAAAAUCUAUCUUUUGUAGUUAAUAAACUUGUAUGUUUUAAUCU
This is a long non-coding RNA of Chelonia mydas (Green sea turtle), 3242 nucleotides long. RefSeq lists it as uncharacterized. The transcript is spliced from 3 exons. The record is from RefSeq and is a predicted model, not a curated record. NCBI's taxonomy places the organism in Eukaryota, Metazoa, Chordata, Testudines, Cheloniidae.